GCCGGCGUAGCUCAGUGGUAGAGCAGCUGAUUCGUAAUCAGCAGGUCGUAGGUUCAAGUCCUAUCGCCGGCU
This 72-nucleotide transfer RNA is filed under the name bacterium. Its description in RNAcentral is "tRNA-Thr". It matches the Rfam family "tRNA". Rfam says of the family: Transfer RNA (tRNA) molecules are approximately 80 nucleotides in length. The record is from RNAcentral. RNAcentral also lists the same sequence under 1 other name.